Rhodamnia argentea is the source of this 2334-nucleotide RNA transcript. It is a transcript of the gene named protein FLX-like 3, with no coding region annotated. The record is from RefSeq and is a predicted model, not a curated record. The transcript has 6 exons. Lineage: Eukaryota; Viridiplantae; Streptophyta; Magnoliopsida; Myrtales; Myrtaceae.
UUUCUCCAAAAGGAAUUGCACUUCCUCCUCAGAGAAAAGCACGCAGCUUUUUUUAACAACGAAGUCGUCAUCCUCUUCCUCUGCCUCGAGCUAGGGUUCCGAAUCGGUUGCUUGCAUCUCGUCCUUCGCCGGUUCUUCAUCAUCUUCUUCAUCUUUUUCCUCGACCAGUUUCCUUGGUCCUCCAUGUGGAACGUGCGUUCGAGAUCGCAAAUCGCAGGCUGACGAGCGAUCUUGGUAAACCCCGAGCGAAAGUAGGUGUACAGAACCGAACCGACCUGCGUUUCCUUUGUCAUGAGGUUGAAAAUGGCAGGGAGGAAUCGAGUGUUGCGCGAGCCGUUUAGUAGCCGGCGUGGUUACCCUCCUGAAGGCCCUUAUGUCCGUGGUCCGCCUCUGCCUCGGCCGCCUCCUCCCCCUGCUUUGUUGGAGGAGGAGCUCGAGAUGCAACACGCCGAGCUUCGGAGGGUGUUGGCGGAUAACCGCAGGCUGGUUGAAGAUCGGAUUGCGCUGCAGCGGGAGCUUGGUGCUGCCAAGGAGGAGAUUCAUCGGAUGAACCUUGUUAUCGGAGAUAUCCGCGCAGAGCACGACAUUCACUCGAGGGAGUUCAUCGAGAAAGGUUUGAAGCUUGAAGCCGAUCUUCGCGCGGCCGAGCCUUUGAAAAAGGAAGCUGGGCAGCUUCGUGCCGAAGUUCAGAAGCUGAAUAACGUGAAGCAGGAUCUUGCUGGGCAAGUUCAAAAUCUGACGCAGGACGUUGCUAGAUUGAAGGCUGAAAACAAGCAGAUUUCUCUCUUGAGGGCGGAAAUCGAUGGUCUCAACCAGGAGCUCAUGCAUGCUAGAUCUACUGUCGAAUAUGAGAGGAAAGCAAACAUUGAAUUGGUGGAACAAAGACAGGCAAUGGAGAAUACUUUGGUUUCUAUGGCGCGGGAGGUCGAGAAGUUGCGUGCUGAACUCGCUGCUGGUGAUGUCAGAUCAUGGGGUGCUGGUGGAGGACCAUAUGGGAGGAAAUUUAACACUGGGGAAGGGAGUUUCGCUGCACCAUAUGGGGAUGGCUAUGGUGUUCACCUGGGUUCUGGUAACGGUCCUCUCUAUGGUCCUGGAUCUGCUUCACGGGGAGGACAUGACAAGCCUCGCAUUAAUCGUCGUUGAGAGUUGGACGGUGAUUGUUGUAACUGAAUAUGCACCACAUGUCGUUUGCUGAGCAGUUGAAGGAGUUAAUGGGAGGGAAGGCACAAAUUUGUCAAUUGGCACACCCCAUGAGUAGUCUAUUAUCUGAAUGCAUCAUGGAGAUACUUUCUUGCGAUGCCCGACCUGGAGGAUGUCACAUUUUUCUGUUGGGGAGCCAAAUGGGUUGGAUGUCCAUCCAAUGACUAUAGGUUAGACCUGAACCAACUGAACUUGUAAUAAUUCUUUUUGACUGUACGUGCACCAUUUACAAUAAUAGGAAAAUCCCAUCUGACCUACAAACACAAAGAAGUUGGUUAAGGGCCUGCUAGUUUUUCAAUAUAUUUUCUAUUCAUAGGAGCAGUGAAACUAGAUACAUUUUUUUGUCGACCCUCCCGCCGUCUCUUUCUCUCUCCUGAUACGCAUAGAAGAUAGAUGAGUUUUGCCUGAAUGUGUGAUGAAGACAUUCCUAUAUGAUGAUUUGCGUUCUUUAACUCGAAUCUGUAUGAUAUCAUUCUGGUGCCUUUCCUUAACAUCUCAAAUUUGCUCCUAUAGUUGCCAUAUACUAAUUACCUUGUUCUUUUUUGAAACCGUCACCUAAGGCAAAAUUCUAUGGCUGAUAUCUUUUUGGUGCCUUUCCUCAUUAUCUGUCUUCUUGUAAGAGUUGAUAUGUGGCAAUUGCAAAGGUUUGUCAUUGAGAUGCAUCCUGAUGUCUAUUUCGUUUGCUAUCUUUUCUAAGUCCAGAUUUUUUUUGUUGUUGUUCAACACAGUGGAAGAGUUCAUUGGAACACAGUUGCUCUGCUUGUAGACUGCAUACACACUUAAAAAGUUGUUCAUACUAGCAGAGGGCAUCAUAUAUUCAGAUUCUUCACAGCUGAAAUUGCCAGAUGAUUACUGUUAGGAUUGAGGCACAAUAAGGUGCCUCUAUGGAGGCAGUUUGAUGAGGUGAUGUAUUUUUGGUCUUAGUUGCGAGAUUGCAGUGACUGUUAUUUUGGCUGAUGCUUUCUCCUUGGUCACUGUCUAUUUGUUCUCAUUUUUCAAAUCGGAGAAAUUCAGGAUGUGAAACUGUAAGAGGAGUUACUUGUACCUUACAAAGGUGGCCACAUGAGAAUAGAUAUGAAGUAUUUAGUGAUAUAUGAUCUCUAGGAGAGGACCUUUGCUGUUGGCUGAUCGAGC